This 58-nucleotide transfer RNA is filed under the name Clostridiales bacterium 59_14. RNAcentral's name for it is "tRNA-Asp". It matches the Rfam family "tRNA", at positions 8 to 62 of the family's 71-position model. From Rfam's summary of the family: Transfer RNA (tRNA) molecules are approximately 80 nucleotides in length. Their secondary structure includes four short double-helical elements and three loops (D, anti-codon, and T loops). The record is from RNAcentral. Lineage: Bacteria; Bacillati; Bacillota; Clostridia; Eubacteriales.
UAGUUCAGUUGGUUAGAAUGCCAGCCUGUCACGCUGGAGGUCAGGGGUUCGAGCCCCC